Molecule: ribosomal RNA, 253 nt
Filed under: uncultured bacterium
Lineage: Bacteria
Description: partial 16S ribosomal RNA
Rfam family: Bacterial small subunit ribosomal RNA
Source: RNAcentral
UACAGAGGGGGCAAGCGUUAUUCGGAAUUACUGGGCGUAAAGCGUGCGCAGGCGGUUUUGUAAGCCAGAUGUGAAAUCCCCGGGCUUAACCUGGGAAUGGCAUUUGGGACUGCAAGGCUCGAGUGCGGCAGAGGAGACUGGAAUUCCUGGUGUAGCAGUGAAAUGCGUAGAUAUCAGGAGGAACACCGAUGGCGAAGGCAGGUCUCUGGGCUGACACUGACGCUCAUGCACGAAAGCGUGGGGAGCAAACAGG